This 1624-nucleotide long non-coding RNA is filed under the name Homo sapiens (human). RNAcentral describes it as "HSALNT0386659". The record is from RNAcentral. Lineage: Eukaryota; Metazoa; Chordata; Mammalia; Primates; Hominidae.
GAAGUUUGAGGCCGGCCGCUUGGUGGCGCCUGUGGCCGCAGGGAUUUGACUGGGCCUUCUCUAGCUUUCCCCGGUUUGCUGCACUUGACGCUGCAGGGCGGGCGGGGUAAAGAAGGGAGCGAGCCCUUCUCAAGCUUGGAAAGUUUCCAGACUGCUGGGCCAGCCUCCUCCCCAGAGGGAAACUGAGGUCCGAUUGAGGUUUCUCCAAGACCGCCCACUCCUGCUCCUGUCCCCAAACCCCUUUCUGCCUAGGGUUCCUGGAAGCCAAGGAAACAGAACGAACUGUUCCCUGGGUGGGCGAGCCACUGCAGAGUACAAAGCUUUCAGGCCGCCUGCCUCAUUAGCACUAAUGGCUGCUCCCUUCCGCCCUGUGUCGUCAGGACUGUCUAUGCCUGGUCUCAUCAGCACAAGGCUGGGUAACAGCUGAAGAAGUCCCAGGAGUCCUCCCAUGUCCUCUCAGCAACCCAGGCUGGAGCCUACUCCUUGGUGUUGGCAAAGGAAACCGUCUUUGAAGCCAGAGGGAGCCCUGAAUUCAUGCAGAGGAGUUUUUCUACCUUCCAUCUGCUUCUGCAUAUCAUCUUGUCUACUUAAUGCCCCUCCUUCCGGAUUUAUAGAACAGUAUGCAUAAUAUGACCCCAACUGCAUUCCAAAAAAUAGAUGUAGAUGUAAGCUUAGAGAUGCAAAGAAACUUUUUGAGAGAAUUCACUAUGCUUCUCGCGGGUGGUGACACAGUUCAAGGAGGUUCCAUGGGGUGUAAUGUUUAUCUUUCUCUUUUGUCCUUCUGAUCAUUGAAAUGAUGCUUUGUGUGUGUGAACAUGUAUUACUUUUAUAAUUAAAAUAGAAAAAUUAAUUUGAAUGGGACAAAUGCUCGAAGUCAAAGUCACCUGUUAUAACUGCUGUCACUAACAGGGCAACUGUUUGAAAAUGCUGCAGAAACAUGAGAAAUGUUCAUGAAGUGACCCUGUGGAGGCUUCCGGUCACAGGAUCAUGUGAGCGCCACGAUCACCCCAGGGGUGGAGCAGAUGCUAAGUGUUCACCACACCCAAUUCUCUUCCUGGACACACAGGAAGAUGACAUUUCCAGUGACAUGCCCCACCUCUAGGCCCUAGUCUUUUUUUUAUUUAAAGGUCUGAGUCUUGUUCUGUCACCCAGGCUGGAGUGCAGUGCUGUGAUCAUGACUCACUGCAGCCUCAACCUCCUGUGCUCAAACAAUCCUCCCACCUCAGCCUCCCUAAUAGCUGAUGUCAUAUAGGCAUGAGCCAGUGUGCCUGGCUCAGGCCCUACCCUUAAAAGCAUCCCACCUGAUUCACCAGCCCCCUUCUCUCUCUCAGUAAACUUGGAAACCACGCAUUCCAGAUGGUAUAAUUUACAGCAUGAUGGAAAAAGCCAGCUCUCCAUGGGAAGCUGGCCAGUCUUCAUUGGAGUACAUUUUUAUUGCAUGAAGCCAAUGAGACUUGAUAUUGUUUAACUCUGUGGUUUCCAAAGUGCGGUCCUUUUGAAGUAUCCAUAAAGUCUACACUAGGUUCACGGUAAUAUUAAGAUGUUAUUUGUCAGCUGGGCACGGUGGCUCACGCCUAUAAUCUCAGCACUUUGGGAGGCCAAGGCAAAUGGAUAAUGAGGUCAG